ACACGACUACAUUAGAUACCCGCGUAGUCCCAGCCGUAAACUAUGCGCGUUAGGUGUACUGGUGACCACGAGUCACCGGGGUGCCGAAGGGAAACCGUGAAACGUGCCGCCUGGGAAGUACGGUCGCAAGGCUGAAACUUAAAGGAAUUGGCGGGGGAGCACCGACAACGGGUGGAGCCUGCGGUUUAAUUGGACUCAACGCCGGAAAUCUCACCGGAUAGGACAGACAUAUGAUAGUCGGGCUGAAGACUCUACUUGAUGAUUCUG
RNAcentral lists this ribosomal RNA (267 nucleotides) under uncultured archaeon. RNAcentral's name for it is "partial 16S ribosomal RNA". It matches the Rfam family "Archaeal small subunit ribosomal RNA", at positions 717 to 982 of the family's 1478-position model. The record is from RNAcentral.